Molecule: ribosomal RNA, 253 nt
Filed under: uncultured bacterium
Lineage: Bacteria
Description: partial 16S ribosomal RNA
Rfam family: Bacterial small subunit ribosomal RNA
Source: RNAcentral
UACGAAGGGGGCUAGCGUUGCUCGCAAUGACUGGGCGUAAAGGGCGCGUAGGCGGUUCAUACAGUCAGAUGUGAAAUUCCUGGGCUCAACCUGGGGGCUGCAUUUGAUACGUGUGGACUAGAGUGGGGAAGAGGGUCGUGGAAUUCCCAGUGUAGAGGUGAAAUUCGUAGAUAUUGGGAAGAACACCGGUGGCGAAGGCGGCGACCUGGUCCUUGACUGACGCUGAGGCGCGAAAGCGUGGGGAGCAAACAGG